AAUAGGAACAAACCCAUUAAUAUUCCCUGCUCAAACUUAAGGGCGGAAGCAAAUUCAUCCGUUAAAACAAUCUUAUUUUAAAGCCCCCUACGAAAUGGUUGCCCCAUUUUCGGGCGUCCCAGAUCCGUUUGUAAAUAUUAUAAUAUAAUAAUAAUUAUAGCAUUUGAAGGGAUAUUCCGAUAUGGAAUAACACGUGCGGGCCCAUAAAUACCUUGAACCCCUUUUUCGUGCCCCAGGACAAAUUGCAAAUAACUUCCUUGUUAUUUUAAAAGGCAGACAGAUAAUAAUCAGAUAUAGCGAUUUGCACUAGUUAUUUGUUUUAUAUUUUAAUCCCUACGCGUAAAUAAGGUUUAUAAACAGAAUGCAAGAUGCCCCCAUUAUAAAACGUUAUAUAACUAACAAACUUCAAAACCGGCUAUUUGCUCCAUAUAAGGUUACCUUACAUUUAAUUAUAGCGGGGUCCUUAAUUUACCAGGCUAUUAACGGUUACGUUUCGGCCAGCAUUUUCCAAAUCCUAUGUAACGGUAAUUAUCCCAAUUGGCCCCAAUUCUAUACCAAUACAAACCAGAUUAUAACAAUAUUAAAUGGGCUGUAAUUUUGGACGGUUGUAGGGGCGAACGGCGUGUUUGACACGACGUUAUAGCAGCAGCUAAAAUAGCAACCAUACCAAUACCACAUAUGAUGGGAAAUGUAAUAACAGCAGUUAACGAUAAAUUGGUUAUAGGGACUGUUUUCCACCUAAAGGUGGAAUUUUGCAAAUCGCAGGUCGGUUAAAUGCGGAGGCUCCACACGUUAAUAAUUUCAAUUAUUUUUGUUAAUAUUUUCUUAAUACCACGGUUAUUAGCUCAGGUUUGGUGGGGAGUUUGUAAAUAUGGAUUUUUAAGCUUUUUGGAAUUUUCUUUGUAUUAAGUUAUGUGGCUCGAAAUCGUAAAAAAAUAUGCUAUAUUUAUAUUAAGUAUCGGUGUAAUAAUUCUUAUAAUAUUAUUGCCAAUUUAAGACCAGUGAAAUCGUGCUCGAAAACAGGGAUCCGAAAUAUAUAUAUAAUUGUUUUUCAGGGAUACCAUAGGAUAUCGGCUUACCAGGAUAUUAUAUCCGAAUUUAGGCAAAUUUUAUUAUAAAAGCCUCCCAGUGCAGUUGCAAUUACAGGAAAAUCUUGCCAAAUUAUAUGGUUAUAGCGUUACGUUUAUAUAAAACUUGCCUCUGGUUAUUACCUUUGCUAUUUGGUUCGGAUACCUGGUGCCCCCAAUUACCUUGUUUACAAAUUGCAUGUAAAUAUACCAUUUCGCAUAACCAAACAUAUCCAGCCUGCGGCAAAGCGGCACGACGCAGAAGUUGACGGCUAUAUAACCAAUGGCGAUCCAGGUAAGUAGCUCGGUUUUGCCAAAGUCGGCCAGGAUGGGCACCUGGAUGCUGGGAAUAAAUAUCUGCCUUUUAAGGAUUUUUAAUACAGCCGACCAUAUUUUUGAAAUUCCAUUUGAGGAGUUUUAUUUUGCCCAUCGACAAGUUUGACAAACUAAUUAUAAAGGACGCAAUGUUUAAAAAAUUAAAGGAACGCGGAAUUUCGGAUAGGGAUGUUAAGCAAUUUGCACGUCAGCCCAGGAUUGGAUUGCUAUUAUGGUUCUUUCGCCAAUUUAUAUAAUGCCCAAAAAUAACAAAUGGCAAUACCCCUGAAAGAUUAUAUAUCCUCCUUUUUUCAAAUUAUAUAUUUUUGAGAAGCAGUUAGGGAAAGCAAUAUUAUAACGUGCAGAUCCACGCAAAAGGACAUCCCAGUUAAAUGCCGGAAUAUUACCGUAAAGGCUCCGUGGAGGUAAAGGCCAAUAGGAAUAAACCCGUUACAAAAUGCACCCCUGACGGCCAGCAUCAAUUUUACCCCCAACUGUUUGUUAUAUUUUACUAAACCUCCCUGCUCGAAAUCGAGGGCCAAUAACUUUAACCAAUUUUAUUUUUAAUUAUAUACGCAAAUGGACCGAAUGCCUUACAAACAGUGACCUCCUGGGGUUAGGCGAUUACGGCGGUAAACCCGGGUCUUUAAAAUAUCCUUGCAAUUUGUAAGCGAGGUGCCCAGGCCCUGUAGCGAUUGCAAUCCAAAGACCGUUUGCACACCGAGUGACGAAUAUAUAUCCCGGGGGCCUGGCGCUCAGGGCUGGCUGACGAUAUACCACAGCGGUUAUGCUGUAGGUUUGCGAGGUACCUUGAGCUUUCCAGGAUGCGGCAGUGAGAUUUGUUUUGCUAUAUAUUGGUUGCUUAUUCGCCAUGGUAUUGGAUUGGGUAUGUUAUUACCUGGGCCUAUUUGAUUUAACAACCGUCGUACACCCUCCGUUUAGCCCCUGUGGAAUUUCGCUAGGAAACCUCGAGGCCUGUAUUUAAUCGGUCCGAAUAAAAUUAAAAAUAUUAUCCAUAAUUGGCAGCGGGAAAUGGAUGUAAAUUUCCCUGUCAGUUAAACCCGAAAUCGACGUCUGGCCAGCUAUAUAAUAAUAAUAUGGAUCUUAUUCCAAUUAGCUUCACCCAUUUUAAGCGUAAGGACGCAAAUCCCCCCGAUAACCUGGAUAUAAAAACCGGUUCCUUUAUUUCCGAAAACGGAGGAGCCCCUGUUUGUUUUAUUAUACCGUGGGAAUAAUUUACAGCAAUAAAUAUUUUGGGAUAAGAAAUGUAUUAAAGCCGAUAAAAUUGUUUGUUUAAAAUAUUAUUUUGGAGCGUAUAAAAUUAAUAAGUUUUUUUCUUUCCUCCUUGGACAUAUUUGAGUUUUGACAGCCAGAUCCUUAAAAAGGCUUAGUUUCAAAUGUUUUGCCAAACCGACACCAGUCCCUUUAUUAACGUUAAUAACCACCGUUACACUGCUUUUUAUUCCUUUGGAAUUUCACCGAAACAAAAAGCAUUAAUUAUUAAAUAUUUGCUAUUUUACGCAAAUACGUUUUUUUAUAAGAGUUUAUUACAUUUAUUGGAAAGCAAAAAGUGGACCACAUUGCUUUUCCCUUGAUUAUAACUAAUGACGUGUCCGAGUCCGCUUUUCGGUAAUUGUAAGGCUAAUAUACGACCGGGAUUUGUAAUGGUCGUGCAUAAGACUUUCUUCGGAACCCGGCUAAUUUUGCGUAUUGCCUGUCCGUGUCGAAUUAAGCCUGCAACCUAACGGGCGUGGAAAUUUAAAAAGUUGAUUAUUGCGUGAUAUUUUUUAAGGUUCGCCAACGCGGCUGUGCAAAAAUUGUGAAAUUGCGACGUGUUACCAAAGAAGUCCGUUGCAUAUUUGCCCAGGUUUGGUUUACCAUUAUAACUUUUUCGCCCAUUUGAUAUUGUACCUUAAAAAUAAUAAGCGGCAAUAUUCCUCAGAGGUUGCAUAACUUUAUUUUAUCUAUUUAGGCGCAGAAUGAGAUAAAUAUUUGCUAGUUAAAUGCCGGAACGCCACCCCAAAUAACUUUUUUUAGGAACGAGUCCCAUAUAAAUCGAAAAUUCCUGCAUUUGGUUAUUCGACGGCUGUAAUAAAUACCUGUUAAAGGAGCUUGCACCAAAGAAAACUGAAACCAUAUAUAUAACCAAGCCAUUCUAAGUUAUUUAUCCCAGCCAAAAGGGCGUCCAUCACGAUGCAAAAGGCCCUCCAUCACCGUGGCACGCUACCUAUAGGGUAGCAAAACGGUUUAGCGUCGUAUGGUAAUGCGUAACGAAACAAAAUGGGCGUUAAUUAUCCAUAAAUUGUUGCUUUUUAAAUGCCGCUAAUGUGCAUUGGAGCGUUUAACCCUUAUAAACCAUUUGCUCCUUUCGAAACGAAGGUUGUGGACGGAAAGAGUGCAUAGCACACCUUAGGCUCGGUUGUUUUGUCCUGCGAAUUUUGCGGGGAAAUUAUAAAUAUAUUACGUACAACUUUGGUUCUAAACCAGGCCGAUAAUUGCAAAAGAAACCCCUCGUUCCUGGAAUGGCCACUAUAACUAUUUUAUCAACGACUUUAAAGUUGACAUUACGGAACCGAGGGCCCCCACAAUUGCAUAUAUGUUUCCUGCAAAUCCCGUGCAUAUUUCUGAAAUAAGAAAACUAUUGUAAAACAGCAUAAAGCUGAAGAUAAUAGCCUAUAAAAUUUGGAAAAGGAUAUAAACUAAUCCGUUCUGCCUUUCGUGGUGUGGUUGUAAGGUUAGGCAUAGGAAUUUCCGCGUUUCAUCUUACCUCCCGAUAUACGGAAAGAAAAAUCUGCUCUUUAAUCAACUUAUACCUCCAGCCUCUAUCUGGUCAAGCAAAAUACCUUCAACUACCGUCAAAUGCGCAUUUUGUGGUGUCGAGUACUCGUCCACCCAGUCUGGUUGUCCUUUCGCAUCCACCCACAAAUAAAGUGUGAGUUCACUCUGAGAUUGGAAAUUUGCAAAGUCCACUAUCUCAUCUUUGGCUCGAUUAUUUAGGAAAAGAUCACUGCGGAACAAAGUUUUUUUCUCGUCUGGAUUGGGGCUAUUUACCGAAUUUGUGGUUUUGUUGCUCGAGACUAUAACCCUACUGGCAAUCCGCCGCGCAAUUUUCUGUCUGUGCGAGGAUUUUAAUAUUCGUUUGAAUGUAUAGUCGCCUUUAAAAUUUUACAUUCGUCAAACAAAUCGAAUUUUUCAAAUGGUAGGAAACUUUGUGUGGCUAUUAAUAACUACUCGAGAAAGUUUCGGUACAUAUUCGAACUCUAAUGUAUUUAUUACAGCUGCGCAGUCAGUUCCUGCCAGUGCGUGUAUAUAGUAUGUGUGGAAUAGGGAACAAUGAGGCAAAGGUAUUGCCAAAUUGCCACGAGUGCGUACUGGUUACUGUACUGGCGCUUAGUUAGGGCACGAUUAUUUAUCUUCCCGUUGACCAGGAAUAUGGCACGGAAUUUUGUGUUUUUAGACAAAGGGAUAGGAUACAAACAACCAGGUGAAUUAUAACAGGUUUUAAUAUUGUAAUUUUUAAACGGUUACCCUAUA
This 4916-nucleotide small RNA is filed under the name Pyricularia oryzae. RNAcentral's name for it is "Magnaporthe oryzae sRNA M_BR32_EuGene_00142681". The record is from RNAcentral. Lineage: Eukaryota; Fungi; Ascomycota; Sordariomycetes; Magnaporthales; Pyriculariaceae.